UAGUUCAGUUGUUAGAGCAUGGUGUUUGCAACGCCAGGGUUGUGGGUUUGAUUCCCAC
This 58-nucleotide transfer RNA is filed under the name Salmo salar (Atlantic salmon). It matches the Rfam family "tRNA", at positions 8 to 63 of the family's 71-position model. From Rfam's summary of the family: Transfer RNA (tRNA) molecules are approximately 80 nucleotides in length. Their secondary structure includes four short double-helical elements and three loops (D, anti-codon, and T loops). Further hydrogen bonds mediate the characteristic L-shaped molecular structure. tRNAs have two regions of fundamental functional importance: the anti-codon, which is responsible for specific mRNA codon recognition, and the 3' end, to which the tRNAs corresponding amino acid is attached (by aminoacyl-tRNA synthetases). tRNAs cope with the degeneracy of the genetic code in two manners: having more than one tRNA (with a specific anti-codon) for a particular amino acid; and 'wobble' base-pairing, i.e. permitting non-standard base-pairing at the 3rd anti-codon position. Lineage: Eukaryota; Metazoa; Chordata; Actinopteri; Salmoniformes; Salmonidae. The record is from Rfam by way of RNAcentral.